This 248-nucleotide unclassified non-coding RNA is filed under the name uncultured fungus. RNAcentral describes it as "partial contains 5.8S ribosomal RNA, internal transcribed spacer 2, and large subunit ribosomal RNA". The record is from RNAcentral. Lineage: Eukaryota; Fungi.
AACGCACAUUGCGCCCCUUGGUAUUCCAUGGGGCAUGCCUGUUCGAGCGUCAUUUGUACCCUCCAGCCCUGCUGGGUGUUGGGCGUUUGUUCCGCUGCGCGCGUGAACUCGCCUCAAAUGCAUUGGCAGCCCGCCGUCCCGUGUGGGAGCGCAGCACAUUUUGCGCUCUCCGCUGCAGACGGUGGCGUCCACAAGUCUACAUUUUUACGCUUGACCUCGGAUCAGGUAGGGAUACCCGCUGAACUUAA